This 545-nucleotide ribosomal RNA is filed under the name Xenocriconemella macrodora. RNAcentral's name for it is "partial 28S ribosomal RNA". It matches the Rfam family "Eukaryotic large subunit ribosomal RNA", at positions 386 to 813 of the family's 3401-position model. The record is from RNAcentral. Lineage: Eukaryota; Metazoa; Nematoda; Chromadorea; Rhabditida; Criconematidae.
CGGAUAGAGCUAGCGAACUCGCCUGCAUUCAGCCAAAGGCUCGUGGUCGCCGGCUGUUCGGUUGUUCAUAGCGCCGAGCGGUUGGAGUGGCUAUGUGCUGAGGUGCAUUUGUGGGUGUUUGCGCUGAGACUUGUGGGGUAGCUGCUGGACCCGUUGACUAGAGGCCGUCCUUUGGGCGGAACCUUGUUGCGGUGACGGCUGUUUGCCCUGCUCGUAAUUGGAUACGGCGAACGAGCGUCGGCUUUGUUGUCGUCUCGCUGCAGUGGUAUCGCAUGCGAUGCCUAGUGGUGGGGCGCUGAUUGGGUCUGCGCUCCCGUGUCUGUUCUCGGUGUAAGAGCUGGUCAUCUCUCCGACCCGUCUUGAAACACGGACCAAGGAGUUUAGCGUAUGCGCAAGUCAUUGGGUGUUGAAAACCCAUAGGCGCAAUGAAAGUAAAGGCCCGGUCGCUGGGCUGACAUGCGAGUGCUUGGGCUUCGGCCUUUGCGCGCAGCAUGGUCCCGUUUCGGUCGCUUGCGACGGAGCGGAGACAGAGCGUAUGCGCUGAG